ACUCCUACGGGAGGGCAGCAGUAGGGAAGUCUUCCACAAUGGGCGCAAGCCUGAUGGAGCAACACCGCGUGAGUGAAGAAGGGUUUCGGCUCGUAAAGCUCUGUUGUUAAAGAAGAACACGUAUGAGAGUAACUGUUCAUACGUUGACGGUAUUUAACCAGAAAGUCACGGCUAACUACGUGCCAGCAGCCGCGGUAAUACGUAGGUGGCAAGCGUUAUCCGGAUUUAUUGGGCGUAAAGAGAGUGCAGGCGGUUUUCUAAGUCUGAUGUGAAAGCCUUCGGCUUAACCGGAGAAGUGCAUCGGAAACUGGAUAACUUGAGUGCAGAAGAGGGUAGUGGAACUCCACGUGUAGCGGUGGAAUGCGUAGAUAUAUGGAAGAACACCAGUGGCGAAGGCGGCUACCUGGUCUGCAACUGACGCUGAGACUCGAAAGCAUGGGUAGCGAACAGGAUUAGAUACCCUGGUAGGAUAGCG
This 475-nucleotide ribosomal RNA is filed under the name uncultured bacterium. RNAcentral's name for it is "bacterial SSU rRNA". It matches the Rfam family "Bacterial small subunit ribosomal RNA", at positions 335 to 801 of the family's 1533-position model. The record is from RNAcentral.